This is a long non-coding RNA of Pectinophora gossypiella (pink bollworm), 1365 nucleotides long. RefSeq lists it as uncharacterized. NCBI's taxonomy places the organism in Eukaryota, Metazoa, Arthropoda, Insecta, Lepidoptera, Gelechiidae. The transcript has 4 exons. The record is from RefSeq and is a predicted model, not a curated record.
UAAAAAUGGUAUACAAUAAUAAACUUCAAGAACUAGCGCUUAAGCUGUUCAAUAUAGAUGCUGUGAAAUUUGGUGAAUUUAUGACGAAGAUCGGCAUAAAGACACCGGUGUACCUACUUGGACUUGAGGGUUAUAGUCAGCUAUCCGGCUGUUAUGGACUUAAUAUCUACAUAUAGCAAUCUAUAUGAGUUCGCUGUACUGUAAAAGACAGUAAAUGCGAUCAUCUGUGUGGAAUGCCGUACACUGCAUUACCGGUCGCGACCUUGUUGAGCGUUCAAGCCACAAAGCCUAUGUUGAUGAGGAGAAAAGAAGCCAAGUCUUACGGUACCAAAAAAAUAAUAGAGGGCCAUUAUAGAGUUGGUCAAAAGUGCCUUAUCAUUGAAGAUGUGAUCACUUCUGGUUCCAGUGUGAUGGAAACUGUAAAAGAUCUGCAUAAUGAGGGUUUAGUAUCCGAUGAGGCAAUUGUGAUUCUCGAUAGAGAACAGGGACGGAAAGAGAAUCUUGAAAAUAAUGUCCAAGUUAAAUCUCUAUUUCUUUGUCUGGUUUGAUUGAGAUAUUGUUGGCAAAUUAAAAAAUAGAUCAAUCAAGAAAUAGCCACUAAAGUCCAUGAUUACCUGAAAGGUACUAAAGCUCCUUCAACAGUACAACCAGUAAACCGAAUGGCUUUUACAUAGAUAUGAAGAUAGAUCAGAGCUAGCCACCCAUUGUGAAGCAGCUAUUCACCAUAAUGGCUUCUAAGAAAACCAAUUUAUGUUUGUCCGUUGACUAACAAAAAAACAACACACAACGAAAAUCCUUGACCUGUUAGAAAAAGUUGGCGAACAUAUCUGCUUAGUGAAAACCCAUGUGAAGAUUUUUCAGAGGAUUUUAUAAGCAGUUUGAAACAAUUGGUAGCACGGCUUAACUUUUUAAUACUGGAGGACUGUAAAUUUGCUGAUAUUGGCAAUACUGUCAAUCAAUCUCAAUCACAAUAAUGUCAAUCUUAAACACUACUUUCAACUGGACCGUGUGGUGAAUGCUUGAAACAAUGCAGUGCCAGUGAUAUUAAUGAUUAACUUGUAACAUCAACACAUACCUAGCUCUGUGUGUGUCAAAACUGUAAUGACUCCUACCAGGCGCGCAGUGCAGGCUGCACUGCCUGCUUCUUCUUAUCCUUUUGACCUGCAGGACUUAAAAUUACUACAAAAGUAAUGUACCUAUCUAUGGAAUGGAACUACAGAAGUACACUGAAGGAAGGCCUCCACAGCAAGGUGAUAAAUCUUUGACUUUGACGUUUGCAAGUAGUCCUAAUAGCCACUGCAUCCUGAAUUGUAAUUAUGAGCCACCAAUAACAAAAAAGACGUCUGUGACAUGGAUCCCUAAUGU